UACGUAGGGUGCAAGCGUUAAUCGGAAUUAUUGGGCGUAAAGGGUGCGUAGGCGGUUUGUUAAGACGGAUGUGAAAUCCCUGGGCUCAACCUGGGAACUGCAUACGUGACUGGCAGACUAGAGUAUGGCAGAGGGAGGUGGAAUUCCACGUGUAGCAGUGAAAUGCGUAGAUAUGUGGAGGAACACCGAUGGCGAAGGCAGCCUCCUGGGCCAAUACUGACGCUGAGGCACGAAAGCGUGGGGAGCAAACAGGAUUAGAUACCCUGGUAGUCCACGCCCUAAACGAUGUCAACUGGUUGUUGGGGAUAGCUAUCCUUAGUAACGAAGCUAACGCGUGAAGUUGACCGCCUGGGGAGUACGAUCGCAAGAUUAAAACUCAAAGGAAUUGACGGGGACCCGCACAAGCGGUGGAUGAUGUGGAUUAAUUCGAUGCAACGCGAAAAACCUUACCUACCCUUGACAUGUACAUAAUCUGGCUGAGAGGUCAGAGUGCUCGAAA
This 499-nucleotide ribosomal RNA is filed under the name uncultured Candidatus Glomeribacter sp. Its description in RNAcentral is "bacterial SSU rRNA". It matches the Rfam family "Bacterial small subunit ribosomal RNA", at positions 524 to 1023 of the family's 1533-position model. Lineage: Bacteria; Pseudomonadati; Pseudomonadota; Betaproteobacteria; Burkholderiales; Burkholderiaceae. The record is from RNAcentral.